AGAUGGGGUCUUCUUUUGUUGCCCAGGCUGGCCACAAAUUCCUGGGCUCAAGUGAUCCUCCCACCUCGUCCUUGUAGAGAUGAGAUUUAGUUAUGUCGUCCAGGCUGAUCUCAAACUCCUGGGCUAAAUCGAUUGUCUCACCUCAGCCUCUCAAGUAUGUUAUGAAGGUUAUAUGUUAGGAAGGGUCCCAGGAGGUAAACCCACACAGAUGGGAUUUGGGCAUAGGUUUGGUUUCCCAGGGGGCAGUGCUGAGCUCUUUGCCAGUGGGAAAUGGGAUGCUGGUGAUUUCCAGUAGGUGACCUCACAGUGACUCAAGCUACCACUUACUGUUGAUUGUGACGAAAUGCCAGCUGAGGCACAUGCCUUGGGAGCUAAGUGGUUGCUGCCCUUGACCACUGUGAAGACUGGUGUGGGAAGGGUCGUUUUGGAUGCACUUGAGCAGGGGUCCCCAACCCCUGAGCCAUGGAGCCGCAAGGAGCCACACAGCAGGAGGUGGGAACAUCCAGUUGCAGGAAAACAAGCUUAACACGCCCACUGAUUCUACAUUAUGCUCCUACCUCCCGGCAGCCUCUCCAGGCCCAGAACUUUCUCCAGUCAGCCUCUACAGACCAAGCUCAUGACUCUCAAUGGCCUAUUUAGGCCCAUACCCUACGUCACGGCAGCCUCCGCAGAUGAGGCUACUGCCUCACAACAGCCUCCACAGGCACAGCUCCAUCGUUACAAUGGCCUCUUUAGACCCAGCUCCUGCCUCCCAGCCUUCUCUCCAGGCCCUGAACUUUCUCAGUAAGUUCAGGGUCUCCCUCUGUUGUCCAAGGCUGGAGUGUAGUAGUGCUAUCGCAGCUGACUGCAGCCUCAACCUUCCAGGCUGAAGCGAUCCUCCCACCUCAACCUCCCACGUGGCUGAGACUACAGGUGCUU
RNAcentral lists this long non-coding RNA (918 nucleotides) under Homo sapiens (human). Its description in RNAcentral is "long intergenic non-protein coding RNA 1002". Lineage: Eukaryota; Metazoa; Chordata; Mammalia; Primates; Hominidae. The record is from RNAcentral.